AGGCAGAAGAACGGGAGUCAUGAAAGAGGCUACCUUAAGGGCAUGGCUAGGAGAGGGGCAAUGAGCAGGAUGGAAAGUGAAAAGGGAAAAACUCUGUAUUGGAGUGAGGAGCUGAGGUUGAGCAGGGACAGUAACCUGCCUGAAUGCCACUGUGGCCAAAGCCCGGAUCUGAAGCUGUCUGUUCUGCCCUGUCUUCUUUGCUGAAGUACUGCUCCAGUGAGGAGACCCAUCCCAGACUGUGGAGGGAACCUGACUUCUCCCUAGGGCUGACUGAAUUCAAAAGGCCUCACAGAUUCUUAUCUAUGAGACUGCUUUAAGUCUCAGUAGAUACUUGGGAGUUUGGACUUUUAAACAGAAGUGGGAUAGUUAACGACUUGGAGGAUCCUUGAAGCUUGGCUAAAGGCUUUUGCAUUGUAAGAUGUGAACGUCUUGGGAGAUGAAUAGAAUCUAAAAUAUUUCCCACGGGCUUGUAUUUUAAACACUUGUGGCCAAUUGGUAGCAAUACCUGGAGAGGAUGUGGAACCUUUUAGAAACUGAGCCUGUCUGUCAGAAGUCACUAGGGGCUGGAAGUCACUGGGCGCAUGUCUUA
This 589-nucleotide long non-coding RNA is filed under the name Mus caroli (Ryukyu mouse). Its description in RNAcentral is "RIKEN cDNA A730090N16 gene (MGP_CAROLIEiJ_G0003374.1)". Lineage: Eukaryota; Metazoa; Chordata; Mammalia; Rodentia; Muridae. The record is from RNAcentral.